UUAAGGUUAAAUAAGGUCAUAAGGAUGGGUCCCUCAUCCAAUAUGACGGGUGGUCUUUUAAGAAGACAGGUACCGGGGUACUUUGCACAGAGGAAAAAUUAUGUGAGGACACAGCCAGAAGAUGAGUGUCUGCAAGCCAGGAAGAGGGGUCUCACUAGAAACCAAGCCUUUUGGCACUUGAUCUUGGACUUCCAGCCUCCAGAACGGUGAGGAAAUACAUUUCUGUUAUUUGAGCCACUCUAUCUGUAGUAUUUUAUAUGGCAGCCCAAGCCGACCUAUACAGGGGUCUCUAGCAGGCUGGGGUUUGGGCCCCACAGCUACAACAGGCCCACCCUGGACAGCCAGGGAGCCUCAAGGUUAAUGACUCAAGGCUGACUCCUUUCCCAGUGAGCGGGGCAGGAAAGAGGGAGAAGGCUGAGGUCCCUGGGCCCAUUUCCUGCUGCCAACUCGAUUUGGAGGCUGAGAGCUGGGAUGGCAGAUGGGAAAGUGAUGAGCUCCUCCUGCUGCAGGUGAUUCAUAGGGCAUCCGGGCACGCGGCCCACCUCCAGCACCAGUGGGAGCUGAUUUCAAAGCCCUCCGCCAGCCUCUGCUCAACACAUGAGAAUCACAUGAGGCUGGGAGGUGGCAGGAGAAAGGGGCUAUUCUCAUGGCCCAGGGAAUCCAGUGGCCAAACUCAUUGCAUCUUGCUUUUGCCCUCUGUGGCCUUUGGUCUGUUUCUCCAUUAGCCUACUUAGGGCAGCCCUGUUUAUAGCCCUAUUUGCCUUCCACUUGUACUAACUGAAUUCCUGCCUCACUUUCACAGGCAUCCUGCAUCUCUGCCUCUUUUGGGUGACUUAUAUGCCUUCCCCAUGGAUACCUUCUCUUCACCAAAAGGAGUCCCACACCUUCCAGCAGGACUCUGGGAAGUUUCUCCCUUACAGCAGAGCUACAUUCUGGCCACGUCUUCUGGCACCUUAUGGCCUAUUCAGUUGGCCAUUUGGAAUGGACAGAACGAAACAGAAGUCAAAGAGCUGUCUACACGUCCUUCCCAAGCUGUAAUUAAGAUGGAAGCUCAUUUGCCAUUCUGAGGAUUGGUGCAAUCAAGCAUAUGACAGAGCAAGAUUUUGGAACAUUUUUAUCAGU
This 1122-nucleotide long non-coding RNA is filed under the name Macaca mulatta (Rhesus monkey). RNAcentral's name for it is "lncRNA (ENSMMUG00000060495.1)". The record is from RNAcentral. Lineage: Eukaryota; Metazoa; Chordata; Mammalia; Primates; Cercopithecidae.